Sapajus apella (tufted capuchin) is the source of this 180-nucleotide long non-coding RNA. RefSeq lists it as uncharacterized. The transcript has 3 exons. Lineage: Eukaryota; Metazoa; Chordata; Mammalia; Primates; Cebidae. The record is from RefSeq and is a predicted model, not a curated record.
AGAAGCAUGAGACAAAGAUCUUUUCUUUAUAAGUUACCUACAUUGGCUAUUUCUUUAUAGAAAUAAGAAUGGUCUAACAGAUAAAAUUGGUACCAAGGGAUGGAGCAUUGCUGUAAAGAUACCUGAAAAUGUGAAAGCAGCUUUGGAAUUGGGUAACAGGCAGAGAUAUUGGGACAGUUU